UACGUAGGUGGCAAGCGUUGUCCGGAUUUACUGGGCGUAAAGAGCGCGCAGGCGGUCGUUCAAGUCGCGUGGGAAAGCCCCCGGCUCAACUGGGGAGGGUCACGCGAUACUGAUCGACUCGAAGGCAGGAGAGGGAAGUGGAAUUCCCGGUGUAGUGGUGAAAUGCGUAGAUAUCGGGAGGAACACCUGUGGCGAAGGCGGCCCCCUGGUCGGAUACUGACGCUGAGACGCGAAAGCGUGGGUAGCAAACGGG
This 253-nucleotide ribosomal RNA is filed under the name uncultured bacterium. RNAcentral's name for it is "partial 16S ribosomal RNA". It matches the Rfam family "Bacterial small subunit ribosomal RNA", at positions 524 to 776 of the family's 1533-position model. The record is from RNAcentral.